AACGCACAUUGCGCCCCUUGUUACAGAGGGGCAUGCCUGUCUGAGUGUCUUUUAAACCAUAGGCUUCGGUCUGUUUUGGGCCUCGCGCCUCCGCGUGGCCUCAAAGUCAUUGCUGUCGAGCGGACGGGAUCCAUUAGGAUGGCGCCGCCUCGACUCGUGCGAAAUUCUCUGACGGACCUCAGAUCAGGUAGGACUACCGCCUGAACUUAA
RNAcentral lists this unclassified non-coding RNA (210 nucleotides) under uncultured fungus. RNAcentral describes it as "sequence contains ITS2". Lineage: Eukaryota; Fungi. The record is from RNAcentral.